This 21-nucleotide non-coding RNA is filed under the name Caenorhabditis elegans. The record is from RNAcentral. Lineage: Eukaryota; Metazoa; Nematoda; Chromadorea; Rhabditida; Rhabditidae.
UCAAUCAUCAUUAACUAUAUA